CAGCUAAGAAUCUUCCGCAAUGGGGGAAACCCUGACGGAGCGACGCCGCGUGGACGAUGAAGGCCGUAAGGUUGUAAAGUCCUUUUGCAGGAGAAGAAUAAGGUAGGGAGUGGAAAGCCCUGCUGAUGACGUUAUCCUGCGAAUAAGCCCCGGCCAAUUACGUGCCAGCAGCCGCGGUAAUACGUAUGGGGCGAGCGUUGUUCGGAGUUAUUGGGCGUAAAGGGCGUGUAGGCGGCCCGAGAAGUCUGGUGUGAAAUCGCAGGGCUCAACCCUGCGGGUGCGCUGGAAACUGACGGGCUUGAGUCCCGGGGGGGAAGCUGGAAUUCCUGGUGUAGGAGUGAAAUCUGUAGAGAUCAGGAAGAACACCGGUGGCGAAGGCGAGCUUCUAUUCGAGGACUGACGCUGAGGCGCGAAAGCGUGGGGAGCAAACAGGAUUAGA
This 439-nucleotide ribosomal RNA is filed under the name uncultured bacterium. RNAcentral describes it as "bacterial SSU rRNA". It matches the Rfam family "Bacterial small subunit ribosomal RNA", at positions 352 to 782 of the family's 1533-position model. The record is from RNAcentral.